RNAcentral lists this ribosomal RNA (1429 nucleotides) under uncultured organism. RNAcentral describes it as "partial small subunit ribosomal RNA". It matches the Rfam family "Bacterial small subunit ribosomal RNA". The record is from RNAcentral.
UGCUUAACACAUGCAAGUCGAACGGAAAGGCCCUGCUUUUGUGGGGUGCUCGAGUGGCGAACGGGUGAGUAACACGUGAGUAACCUGCCCUUGACUUUGGGAUAACUUCAGGAAACUGGGGCUAAUACCGGAUAGGAGCUCCUGCUGCAUGGUGGGGGUUGGAAAGUUUCGGCGGUUGGGGAUGGACUCGCGGCUUAUCAGCUUGUUGGUGGGGUAGUGGCUUACCAAGGCUUUGACGGGUAGCCGGCCUGAGAGGGUGACCGGCCACAUUGGGACUGAGAUACGGCCCAGACUCCUACGGGAGGCAGCAGUGGGGAAUAUUGCACAAUGGGCGGAAGCCUGAUGCAGCAACGCCGCGUGCGGGAUGACGGCCUUCGGGUUGUAAACCGCUUUCGCCUGUGACGAAGCGUGAGUGACGGUAAUGGGUAAAGAAGCACCGGCUAACUACGUGCCAGCAGCCACGGUGAUACGUAGGGUGCGAGCGUUGUCCGGAUUUAUUGGGCGUAAAGGGCUCGUAGGUGGUUGAUCGCGUCGGAAGUGUAAUCUUGGGGCUUAACCCUGAGCGUGCUUUCGAUACGGGUUGACUUGAGGAAGGUAGGGGAGAAUGGAAUUCCUGGUGGAGCGGUGGAAUGCGCAGAUAUCAGGAGGAACACCAGUGGCGAAGGCGGUUCUCUGGGCCUUUCCUGACGCUGAGGAGCGAAAGCGUGGGGAGCGAACAGGCUUAGAUACCCUGGUAGUCCACGCUGUAAACGGUGGGUACUAGGUGUGGGGUCCAUUCCACGGGUUCCGUGCCGUAGCUAACGCUUUAAGUACCCCGCCUGGGGAGUACGGCCGCAAGGCUAAAACUCAAAGGAAUUGACGGGGCCCCGCACAAGCGGCGGAGCAUGCGGAUUAAUUCGAUGCAACGCGUAGAACCUUACCUGGGUUUGACAUGGAUCGGGAGUGCUCAGAGAUGGGUGUGCCUCUUUUGGGGUCGGUUCACAGGUGGUGCAUGGCUGUCGUCAGCUCGUGUCGUGAGAUGUUGGGUUAAGUCCCGCAACGAGCGCAACCCUUGUUCACUGUUGCCAGCACGUUAUGGUGGGGACUCAGUGGAGACCGCCGGGGUCAACUCGGAGGAAGGUGGGGAUGACGUCAAGUCAUCAUGCCCCUUAUGUCCAGGGCUUCACGCAUGCUACAAUGGCUGGUACAGAGAGUGGCGAGCCUGUGAGGGUGAGCGAAUCUCGGAAAGCCGGUCUCAGUUCGGAUUGGGGUCUGCAACUCGACCUCAUGAAGUCGGAGUCGCUAGUAAUCGCAGAUCAGCAACGCUGCGGUGAAUACGUUCCCGGGGCUUGUACACACCGCCCGUCAAGUCAUGAAAGUUGGUAACACCCGAAGCCGGUGGCCUAACCGAUGUGGGGGAGCCGUCGAAGGUGGGACUGGUGAUUAGGCC